AUCUCUCUUCUCCCCAUUUUACAGAUGAGGAAGCAGAAGGGAUGAAGAGCAGGAGGCCAGGGCACACCUCCUCCACACCCUGCUUCCUAACCAGUAGAGACACGGCCUUCCAGACCCACCGGACCCCAGUCACAGCAUCCACACUCCACCCCGAUACCUCCAUGACCGACCGAUCGGCAGCAGGUUGGGGGACGGACGGACGGAGUCCCAGGCCGCCGUUCUCCCCAGGCCACGAAUGCGAGACCCACAUGACCAAACCUAGCUACUCUAGGGGGGACAAAAUGAGCACGGCAGAGCGAGACACCCCGAAGGAAAACAUCCCCCGUGAACGGUACCCAUAAAUUCAUCCACGUUAUCAUAAAUGAGACUCCAAAAUGAUGCGAUCGUAAAAAUGAAAUAAGCCAGGAGUGGAUUUUUCCUACCAUUGGUUUUAUGUGUAGAUUUUCAAUGCCAACAUGUUAACUCUCUUUAACAGCCUCUGCACUCUUGGCGAGGGGUGUGGGGGGGGGUCCCUCCUCUGGAACUAUAAAAGCCUUUUGAAUAACUC
Long non-coding RNA from Tachyglossus aculeatus (Australian echidna), 547 nucleotides. RefSeq lists it as uncharacterized. The record is from RefSeq and is a predicted model, not a curated record. Lineage: Eukaryota; Metazoa; Chordata; Mammalia; Monotremata; Tachyglossidae. The transcript is spliced from 2 exons.